RNAcentral lists this ribosomal RNA (464 nucleotides) under uncultured bacterium. Its description in RNAcentral is "partial 16S ribosomal RNA". It matches the Rfam family "Bacterial small subunit ribosomal RNA", at positions 338 to 795 of the family's 1533-position model. The record is from RNAcentral.
CCUACGGGAGGCAGCAGUAGGGAAUUUUCGUCAAUGGGCGCAAGCCUGAACGAGCAAUGCCGCGUGAACGAGGAAGGUCUUCGGAUCGUAAAGUUCUGUUGAAGGGGAAAAAGAGCGGAGAGAGGAAAUGGUCUCCGAUUGAUAUUACCAUUCGAGGAAGUCACGGCUAACUACGUGCCAGCAGCCGCGGUAAUACGUAGGUGGCGAGCGUUAUCCGGAGUGAUUGGGCGUAAAGGGGGGGUAGUCGGCCUGCUAAGUCUGGAGUGAAGGGUACCGGCUCAACGGGUACAGGCUCUGGAAACUGGCGGGCUAGAGUGCAGGAGAGGGCGGUGGAACUCGAUGUGUAGCGGUAAAAUGCGUAGAUAUAUGGAAGAACACCAGUGGCGAAGGCGGCCGCCUGGCCUGUUACUGACGCUGAGGCACGAAAGCGUGGGGAGCAAAUAGGAUUAGAUACCCUAGUAGUC